RNAcentral lists this long non-coding RNA (1435 nucleotides) under Ursus maritimus (polar bear). RNAcentral's name for it is "lncRNA (ENSUMAG00000001324.1)". Lineage: Eukaryota; Metazoa; Chordata; Mammalia; Carnivora; Ursidae. The record is from RNAcentral.
UUCAAAUCCUGGUUCUGCUGGUUAGCUUGGGACCUGAUCGAGUUAUUCCAUCUCUCAAGGCCUCAGUUUCCUCUGUAAACAAGGACGAUAAUAAGAGUACUGGUUUCUUAGGGGUUGUUAAAAAACCAAAGUCAACUGAGCACAUUUGAAGAUCUCACGAGUCACGAAUCAGGUGGCAUCCUGUCUAGUGAGAAGAGGGGAACUUCGAGGAGGUGUACAAAAUGGACAGUUGGGGCAAGAAAAUUACUAGCAAAAAGAAAGAUAGGAUUCUUUCAGGCAAGGCCACUGGCCCUGAGGUGGAAACAGGGAAGGGGGUCUCAUUCGGUGGGUUACUUCAUGUGUGGGGGAUGGAGAGGGCCCAGGUGACAGGUUACCUCCUGUGUGCCGAUCACAGAACUCCCAGCUGACUGGUUGAGACUUACCUUUCUGGGGGAGGUUGAAGCUGCGACUGGGAUAGGCAUUAAGCCCCGGGUUGGAUGACUUGGCCUCAGUUAAUGCCAUUUUAAGCCUGUGGUUUUCUUUUUCUUUCUUUCUUUCUUUCUUUCUUUCUUUCUUUCUUUCUUUCUUUCUUUCUUUCUUUCUUUCUUUCUUUCUUUCUUCUUUCUCCUUCCUUCCUUCCUUCCUUCCUUCCUUCCUUCCUUGGUUUUAUUUUUAAGUAAUCUCUACACCCAAUGUAGGGGUUCGAACUUACAAGCCCGAGAUCAAGAGUCGGACGUCUUCUGACUGAGCCAGCCAGGCCCCCCCAAGCCUGUGGUUUUCUUCUUAACAGGGUGUUGUGCCAGUUGGAUGAGAGAAAGCACUGAUACUUGAUACUCAGAGUACGGUUUCUGGACUGGCAGCCCCGAUACCUCCUGGUGUGCUUAUUAGAAAUGCAGAAUCCCAGGCCCCAGAAUCCCAGGCCCCACCCCAGAAUGUUCCCGAGUCUGCAUUUCCACAUUUAGCACAACUCUUGGCACAGGGUAAGCGCUCACGAGUGGUAGCUGUCAUGAUCAUGAGUCUGAUAAGAAGCCCUCACAUGAAGGCAGAUUCUGGGGCUGGAGAGAAGCGGGGGGCUCACCGUCUGGCUCUGCAAGUGAGUCAUGUGUGCUCACUUCAGCUUUGCUCCCCGCCGCAUGGUCUCCGCCAGCAGAACUGGAGAUCACGACGCCACCUUCUGGAGCUGACUGGGGAGGCCAGGAAGAUGAAGCAGAAGGUGCUUCUGGGAGUCGAGGACGGUGGAGAUGGAUUUUUCUGGAGGUCUAAGAAGUACCAGUCCUCACCAGUGCCCCUUUAAAUCAGUUGCCCGCCCUGACUUAUUUGUGCUGCUUUAAUCACCAAGGAAACAGCGAAGGGACCCAGACAUUCCCGAGAAGCCCUUGAUAUAUAAUUACUGCACCUCACAGGCAACAAUCGCUCCCCCACCGCCCCCGUCCUGGUCCUGCAUGUUGGAAUGCGG